CACGUAGGCACCAAGCGUUGUCCGGAUUUAUUGGGCGUAAAGAGCUCGUAGGCGGUUCAGUAAGUCGGGUGUGAAAACUCUGGGCUCAACCCAGAGAGGCCACUCGAUACUGCUGUGACUUGAGUACGGUAGGGGAGCGGGGAAUUCCUGGUGUAGCGGUGAAAUGCGCAGAUAUCAGGAGGAACACCAGUGGCGAAGGCGCCGCUCUGGGCCGAAACUGACGCUGAGGAGCGAAAGCGUGGGUAGCAAACAGG
This 254-nucleotide ribosomal RNA is filed under the name uncultured bacterium. RNAcentral describes it as "partial 16S ribosomal RNA". It matches the Rfam family "Bacterial small subunit ribosomal RNA", at positions 524 to 776 of the family's 1533-position model. The record is from RNAcentral.